UACGGAGGAUCCAAGCGUUAUCCGGAUUUAUUGGGUUUAAAGGGUGCGUAGGCGGCUUAUUAAGUCAGGGGUGAAAGACGGUGGCUCAACCAUCGCAGUGCCUUUGAUACUGAUGAGCUUGAUUAACUAGAGUAGGCGGAAUGUGACAAGUAGCGGUGAAAUGCAUAGAUAUGUCACAGAACACCGAUUGCGAAGGCAGCUUACUAAGGUUUCAAUGACGCUGAGGCACGAAAGCGUGGGGAUCAAACAGG
RNAcentral lists this ribosomal RNA (251 nucleotides) under uncultured bacterium. Its description in RNAcentral is "partial 16S ribosomal RNA". It matches the Rfam family "Bacterial small subunit ribosomal RNA", at positions 524 to 776 of the family's 1533-position model. The record is from RNAcentral.